This 406-nucleotide ribosomal RNA is filed under the name uncultured bacterium. Its description in RNAcentral is "partial 16S ribosomal RNA". It matches the Rfam family "Bacterial small subunit ribosomal RNA", at positions 28 to 526 of the family's 1533-position model. The record is from RNAcentral.
GACGAACGCUGGCGGCGUGCUUAACACAUGCAAGUCGAACGAGUGGCGAACGGGUGAGUAAUACGUGAGUAACCUGCCCUCUUUUUGGGAUAAGCCUUGGAAACGGGGUCUAAUACCGAAUAAAGGGGGAUGGGCUCGCGGCCUAUCAGCUUGUUGGUGGGGUGAUGGCCUACCAAGGCGGUGACGGGUAGCCGGCCUGAGAGGGUGACCGGCCACAUUGGGACUGAGACACGGCCCAGACUCCUACGGGAGGCAGCAGUGGGGAAUGUUGGACAAUGGGGGAAACCCUGAUCCAGCCAUCCCGCGUGUAUGAUGAAGGCCUUCGGGUUGUAAAGUACUUUUGGCAGAGAAGCGGUAUCUGCAGAAUAAGCACCGGCUAACUACGUGCCAGCAGCCGCGGUAAUUC